This 459-nucleotide ribosomal RNA is filed under the name uncultured bacterium. RNAcentral's name for it is "partial 16S ribosomal RNA". It matches the Rfam family "Bacterial small subunit ribosomal RNA", at positions 338 to 795 of the family's 1533-position model. The record is from RNAcentral.
CCUACGGGAGGCAGCAGUGAGGAAUAUUGGUCAAUGGGCGAGAGCCUGAACCAGCCAAGUCGCGUGAGGGAAGACGGUCCUACGGAUUGUAAACCUCUUUUGUCGGGGAGCAAAAGACGCCACGCGUGGCGUUCCGAGAGUACCCGAAGAAAAAGCAUCGGCUAACUCCGUGCCAGCAGCCGCGGUAAUACGGGGGAUGCGAGCGUUAUCCGGAUUUAUUGGGUUUUACGGGUGCGCAGGCGGAAGAUCAAGUCAGCGGUAAAAUUGAGAGGCUCAACCGCGUCGAGCAGGUGAAACUGGUUGUCUUGAGUGAGUGAGAGGGAUGCGGAAUGCGUGGUGUAGCGGUGAAAGGCAUAGAUAUCACGCAGAACUCCGAUUGCGAAGGCAGCAUACCGGCGCUCAACUGACGCUCAUGCACGAAAGUGUGGGUAUCGAACAGGAUUAGAUACCCCGGUAGUC